CCCGGGUUAAGAACCCUGUUUUAAUUACCCAGCUAGGUCUGAUCCCCCAAUUAUCUCUCAUCUAAACUAUUUAUAAUAGCACCAACUGGUCUCCCUGCUUCAAAAAUCUCCCCCCAAAUCUUCCUAAGGCACAAGAAGGGGACAGUAUUUAUAGAGCACCUACUAUGCCAGGCAUUGUGGCAAGUACUUAAAAAACCCCCAAUAUAAUAUCAUUUAAGCCUCACAAACAAUGCUAGGGGGUGGGUACUGUCAUUAUAUUAUUAUUGUUAUUUACAGAAGAGGAAACCGAGGCAGACAGAGAUGAAGGGACUUGCCCAAGAUCUCCCAGAAAAUAAGUAUCCGAGGCUGAAUUUGAACUCGGGUCUUCCUGUCUCCAGUCCUAGCACUCUAUCCACCCUACCACUUGGCUGCCUUUAAUGAUAAUGGCCAUGACAUUCCUCUACUCAAAAGACUUUGGUGUGUCCCUGUCACUCUUGGGCUAAUCUACUCUCUUUCAGUUGGCAUUCAUAGCCUUCCACAAUCAUUCGUACUUAUCUUUCCAUCUUCAUCCUCCAUUAUUUCCCCUCAUAUACUCCACAUUCCAGCUAAGCUGGAUCUCUACUAUUUCCCCAAAUACAAAGUCUUAUUUCCUGUGCCUGGAAAGGGUUUCCUCCCCAACUCUGCCUUUCCGCAUCCUGGUCUUCCUUCAAUGAUCUAGGAAGGCGCCAUGCCCUCCAUGAUGCCUUCCAUGGCUCCCAUCUGCCCCAACCUCCUCCAAUGACCUCGAUUCUGGGCAGCCUUUCCUGGGUCUCCUCAGCUGCUCGAGCCUUCCCAGGGAGUGCCAGCCACUCCUUAGGGAUCUCCUCUCCACCUCUCCUGCCCCAUGUCUCCGGGAAGCGCCUCGAGGCCAGGGAUAUGGCUUUUCAUUCUUCUGAGGGCUCAAUAAAUGCUUCUGGAUGGCUGUGUGGAAGGCCGCCCGCUCUACUCCCUCCAUCCCUCCUCCUCCUCCUCCCCCAUCUCAGAACAGCUUGUUGCGGGCAAAGACGGUCACGUUUGCUCACCGCAGUCUCUUGCACCUCUCAUCAGCCAUCUCUGCAUUUGCUGGGUUUGGUUGCUGUUGAAUGGAAGGCAGACCAGCUUGGGGCAGGAAGCUGUAUAUCAUCUGUGAAAUGGCUUCUCCGCGUCCUCCAAGGACCAGGGAAACAGCCCCGACGCUGGCUGUCCAUUGUGGGGCCACGAGGCAGCUUCUGGGGCCCUCCUGCCCAGCUUGUGUAUGUUUGA
This 1260-nucleotide long non-coding RNA is filed under the name Monodelphis domestica (gray short-tailed opossum). RNAcentral's name for it is "lncRNA (ENSMODG00000046507.1)". Lineage: Eukaryota; Metazoa; Chordata; Mammalia; Didelphimorphia; Didelphidae. The record is from RNAcentral.